AAGGCCCUCGUGCCGCUCAGCCCCAGGGCGGCACGGGCGGCGACCAGACGAGCGCGCCGCCGCCAACCUCUUCCUCUUCUCCCCUCCACCUUGCCGCCGCUCGAGCGCCCGCCGGCAAAGCCGGGGGGACGCAAUGACAGCGGCGGCGAGGCUCCCUACCUCCUCUCGCAGGCGCGGCGGCUGGGGCGAUGCCAUGACCGGAGAGAGGUCUCGCGGGUGCAGCGGUCGCCGGCGGCCAGAUCCGGCGUCGGUAGGACCGGAUCCGGUCCCCACACGGCUGGAUCGGGCGUCUCAGCCGGUGGCGACAGGAAGGAGGCGCACGCUCAACGAGGAGCGCGGAAGAGGCGGCGGAAGUGGCGACGUGCGAGGAGGACGACGUUCGCGCGCAGGCCGGUGACGCUCCCGUCACCGGCGGCCCAGGUUCCCGUCCAGAUCCGGGCCGGGCGAGGCGCUGGGAGGUGGCGGCUAGCGGCGGGGGAGAGGUUAACGUCGGGGCUGGAGAGGGUGCGAAGACCGGUGGCAGGCAGGGGUGGCUUCGCGGUGGGCAGCAGCGGCUUGCGCCGAGGUCGCGGUGUUGACGGGAGGUCAGCAACGGGGCUGGAGACGACGCGGAGAUGGUGGCAGGCAGGGGCGGCGUCACGGUGGGCGGGCAGCGGCGGCUCGCUCGCGCCGGUCGCGGCGUCGGCGUCGGCGCUGUGGCGGCGUGGUGGUUGCGACGACGACGGAGCUGCAGCGGCGCGGAUGUCGAGCCGGCUUGCGCCGCCCUGGCUGGAUCUGGCCGUCCGCGACCAGUUCCGUCGCCUCCGCGCCGGAGGGCCUGUCUUUGCCGUUAUGGUCGAGGUAUGAAUGCUUGUGAGACGUCAUGGACUAUUCUGUGGCCGUCAUUGUGGGGGUGCUUGUGUGGGUGAUACGAAGACGUCGGCGAAAGCCUUGCCGUGCCUUUGGCCGGUUCGACGACGACGGCGCCCGUGGGCGCCGUUUUCCUUCUUGGAGGCGUUGUCAUGGCGUUUCUUUCAUAUCCCCCACAAAUCUCCAGGUGAAAACCUUGUUCCGGCUUCGGACGAGCGGCGGCGGCGGAGUUACGACGUCGUGUCCUCCUUUGGGGCGUCGCUUCGGAGAAGUUCCAACACAUUGACGACUGUUGAUGGUCCUUUUCGGUUCAAAAGCUCUCAUACAUUGUGUUCGGCGAGGCCUUCGCCUUCUUGGGUCCGCUUUGUUUCUCGUGGUGGGUGUCACGCUCUUUGGUUGUUUCUGCAGAUGAAGUCGGAGCUACUCGCUGAUGGGGUGCGGUGACGCCUGGCAACGAUGACAUGUUGCAGUCUCUUCCUAGGAGUUGUGGUGCUGGCCGUGUAAAGGAAGUGGCUCCUCGGUGGCUUGGCUGAUGUCCAUUGUUGGAUGUCGGAGCUGCUUUUUGCUUUGGCGACUUUCAUGGCUUUAGUGUCGCUGUGGUUGUGAAGUCGGCGCUGCUGGGUCGCUUGGGCGGCUAGCUCGGCAACGAUAACACCUCUUCUGCGGUGUGGGAGCUGUUGGGUGGCUUUUGUGUUUAGCUUGGCGACGACGUCCUGCAUUUGGGCUCCGCCAUCAUGGUUAGUAGUGUAGC
Molecule: long non-coding RNA, 1600 nt
Filed under: Oryza sativa tropical japonica subgroup
Lineage: Eukaryota; Viridiplantae; Streptophyta; Magnoliopsida; Poales; Poaceae
Also listed under: 1 other name
Description: lncRNA OsAzu_03g0017700
Source: RNAcentral